CUGCCUGGUAGUGGGGGAUAACGUCCGGAAACGGACGCUAAUACCGCAUACGUCCUACGGGAGAAAGCAGGGGACCUUCGGGCCUUGCGCUAUCAGAUGAGCCUAGGUCGGAUUAGCUAGUUGGUGGGGUAAUGGCUCACCAAGGCGACGAUCCGUAACUGGUCUGAGAGGAUGAUCAGUCACACUGGAACUGAGACACGGUCCAGACUCCUACGGGAGGCAGCAGUGGGGAAUAUUGGACAAUGGGCGAAAGCCUGAUCCAGCCAUGCCGCGUGUGUGAAGAAGGUCUUCGGAUUGUAAAGCACUUUAAGUUGGGAGGAAGGGCAGUAAAUUAAUACUUUGCUGUUUUGACGUUACCGACAGAAUAAGCACCGGCUAACUCUGUGCCAGCAGCCGCGGUAAUACAGAGGGUGCAAGCGUUAAUCGGAAUUACUGGGCGUAAAGCGCGCGUAGGUGGUUCGUUAAGUUGGAUGUGAAAUCCCCGGGCUCAAUCCUGGGAACUGCAUUCAAAACUUGACGAGCUAGAGUAUGGUAGAGGGUGGUGGAAUUUCCUGUGUAGCGGUGAAAUGCGUAUAUAUAGGAAGG
RNAcentral lists this ribosomal RNA (585 nucleotides) under uncultured bacterium. RNAcentral describes it as "bacterial SSU rRNA". It matches the Rfam family "Bacterial small subunit ribosomal RNA", at positions 126 to 704 of the family's 1533-position model. The record is from RNAcentral.